RNAcentral lists this ribosomal RNA (756 nucleotides) under uncultured Streptococcus sp. Its description in RNAcentral is "bacterial SSU rRNA". It matches the Rfam family "Bacterial small subunit ribosomal RNA", at positions 28 to 776 of the family's 1533-position model. The record is from RNAcentral. Lineage: Bacteria; Bacillati; Bacillota; Bacilli; Lactobacillales; Streptococcaceae.
GACGAACGCUGGCGGCGUGCUUAACACAUGCAAGUCGAACGCUGAAGCCCAGCUUGUUGGGUGGAUGAGUGGCGGACGGGUGAGUAGCGCGUGGGUAACCUGCCUCAUACAGGGGGAUAACAGUUGGAAACGACUGUUAAUACCGCAUAAGACCACAGCACCGCAUGGUGCGGGGGUAAAAACUCCGGUGGUAUGAGAUGGACCCGCGUUCGAUUAGCCAGUUGGCGGGGUAACGGCCCACCAAAGCGACGAUCGAUAGCCGAUCUGAGAGGAUGACCGGCCACAUUGGGACUGAGACACGGCCCAGACUCCUACGGGAGGCAGCAGUAGGGAAUCUUCGGCAAUGGACGGAAGUCUGACCGAGCAACGCCGCGUGAGUGAAGAAGGUUUUCGGAUCGUAAAGCUCUGUUGUAAGAGAAGAACGGGUGUGAGAGUGGAAAGUUCACACUGUGACGGUAUCUUACCAGAAAGGGACGGCUAACUACGUGCCAGCAGCCGCGGUAAUACGUAGGUCCCGAGCGUUGUCCGGAUUUAUUGGGCGUAAAGCGAGCGCAGGCGGUUAGAUAAGUCUGAAGUUAAAGGCUGUGGCUUAACCAUAGUACGCUUUGGAAACUGUUUAACUUGAGUGCAAGAGGGGAGAGUGGAAUUCCAUGUGUAGCGGUGAAAUGCGUAGAUAUAUGGAGGAACACCGGUGGCGAAAGCGGCUCUCUGGCUUGUAACUGACGCUGAGGCUCGAAAGCGUGGGGAGCAAACAGG